UACGGAGGAUCCGAGCGUUAUCCGGAUUUAUUGGGUUUAAAGGGAGCGUAGGCGGCCUGUUAAGUCAGUGGUGAAAUCUUUCGGCUCAACCGGAAGCUUGCCUUUGAUACUGAUGGGCUUGAAUGUAGUUGAGGUGGGCGGAAUGUGACAAGUAGCGGUGAAAUGCAUAGAUAUGUCACAGAACACCGAUUGCGAAGGCAGCUCACUAAGCUAUGAUUGACGCUGAGGCUCGAAAGCGUGGGGAUCAAACAGG
Molecule: ribosomal RNA, 253 nt
Filed under: uncultured bacterium
Lineage: Bacteria
Description: partial 16S ribosomal RNA
Rfam family: Bacterial small subunit ribosomal RNA
Source: RNAcentral